RNAcentral lists this long non-coding RNA (650 nucleotides) under Pan troglodytes (chimpanzee). Its description in RNAcentral is "lincRNA". The record is from RNAcentral. Lineage: Eukaryota; Metazoa; Chordata; Mammalia; Primates; Hominidae.
GGGUACACCAGCCAGCCCACGGCACAGAGCCUGCCUGUUGGUCUCUACCCACAGGGGAUCCCCUGCUGCUCCAGCAUCAGAUUUGGGACACACCCCCCCCACCCCGCCCCACCAGAGGGCAUCAGCUAUGCCUAGCAGUUACGUCCCCGUGGCUAAAUUAAACUCCCAUUGGCUAAAUUAGGCCCGAAGAGAGGGGCACCUGCUGCUAAGCUGUGUAUGUUGUCCCCUAGGACUCCCACCGUUUGCUGAGCUCCACAUGACAACAGCAGACGACAGGCCGCACUGAUCCCACCUGGCUUACAGGUGCUGUCACACAGGACUGCUGACUAAACACUUUCAAGCACAGCGGACCCUUGAACAACGCAGGUUCAAACUGUGCAGGUCCACCCACAGGGAUGUUUUUCAAUCAGAGUUACACCAAGUGUCCCUGCCUCUCCUGCCUCCCUUCCCACUUCCUCCAUGUCUUCCUCUCUGCCACCCUGAGGCAGCAAGACCAGCCCCUCCUCCUCAGCCACUCAACAUGAAGACAACGAGGAUGAAGACUUCUAUGAUAAUCCACUUCCACUUAGUAAAUGCUUUCUCUUAAUGAUAUUCUUAAUGACAUUUUAUUUUCCCUAGCUUAGUUUAUUGUAAGAAUACAGUAUAAAUAC